This 26-nucleotide non-coding RNA is filed under the name Cricetulus griseus (Chinese hamster). Lineage: Eukaryota; Metazoa; Chordata; Mammalia; Rodentia; Cricetidae. The record is from RNAcentral.
AGAAAGGAAAACAGACACUCUGAAGG